Vitis vinifera (wine grape) is the source of this 4891-nucleotide long non-coding RNA. RefSeq lists it as uncharacterized. Lineage: Eukaryota; Viridiplantae; Streptophyta; Magnoliopsida; Vitales; Vitaceae. The transcript has 2 exons. The record is from RefSeq and is a predicted model, not a curated record.
AUUUUUCAUAGUUUUUGUACAGCUUCCUUUUUUUCUUGUACUCCUUGUCUUCUUUUUUGUAAGUUUAUUUAAUGUUCUGCUUCCUCUUCAUCUUGAAAAAUACAUUCAGUAAUGGGAUUGCUUUCCUUGAAUAAAUUAUAUGAGGAUUCUUGGGGACCAAAUGUACUUACUUUACAUUUGGUGCCUAUGCAAAAUUGCCGGAAACACCAUUUAGAAAUCCUAGGUUCUGGGUCAAUGCUUCUCUUCAGUAGAUGAGUUUAAGUAUCUAAUCCAUCAAUUCUAAAAUUGCAGGAGAAGUAUGUAAAAUGACUGACUGCUUGCUUCAUCUGUUGUUAUUGACUGCAAUAGUGGUUUGUUUUACUUGUUCUAGCAUUUACCAGUAUAGUACAUUAGUACUGUAUUUCUUUCCAGCAAUCCUGGUUGAGACCAGUUUUUGUGACUCUACCAAACUUGUUGUGACUGUUGAUUUAUCCACAUAAAUUUAUUUGGUUACAGGCUCAAAAAAAAAUAUUGUGGUAGGUUUUGCCAAAGCUAUGGACUUGGUUCACUUGAUGUGUUGUAUUAUUCCAUUCCUUGACCAAAAAGUAGCAUCAUUCAAUUGAAAAAUGCAUAGAUAGUAAGGAAAAAGGAAGAUUAGAUUUGAUGUUUGUAAAGUUUAGAAGGUCUGACUUCUUUCUUCAUUUUGCUUUCCUGCUUCUUCUCAUACUUGAUCUUUCCUGCUUCAUUUUGUACCUUUACUAUUAUUAUUGUUACAAUGGAUCAAAAGGAGAUCAGGGUCAUCAGGAGUGUGUUAGAUGUGGCUUAGAAUCCUUUUGUGGAAUGUAAGGGGAGUAAAUGACAGAGACAAGAGAAAAUUGAUAAAGAAUAUGAUUAAAACACAGAAGGUGGACUUAGUGUGUCUCUAAGAAACAAAAACUCAGGAGAUGACUAAUGGAAUUGUAAGAAGCCUCGGGGUAGGAAGAUAUUUGGAGUGGGGGGCCUUAAAUUCAAGGGGGGCGGCGGGGGGUUGGGGUUGUAGUUUCCUGUCGCUUUAAGAAUUGUGAAGAUGGAUUCUGCUAGAUUUUUUCAGGAGUGUAUGGGCCCACUGUGAAAGUGGAGAGAGAAGAUUUUUUGAGUGAGCUGGGGGCCAUUAGAGGUUUGUCGAAUGAGCUGUGGUGUGUAGCAGGAGACUUCAACAUGAUGAGAUUCCCUUCUGAGCGGAGUAGAGGAGGUUGUAUGUCCCCGACGAUGAGGAGAUUCUCAGAGGUGGUUGAGGAAUUAGAGCUAAGGGACUUGCCUCUUCAAGGGGGGUUGUUCACGUGGAGUGGAGGUCUUAAUAAUCGGUUAAAGUCAAGAAUUGAUCAGUUCCUCAUUUAUGAGGAUUGGGAAGUUCAUUUACAGGGGGCCAUACAAGUUGUAUUGGCUAGGCCAGUUUCUGAUCACUCUCCGAUUCUUUUUGAUGGGGAAGGGAUGAGGAGAGGGUCCACGCCCUUUAGAUUUGAGAAUAUGUGGGGUUUAAAGAAGUGUUGAGAAAGUGGUGGGAGGGGAUUCAAGUUAGUGGGUCAGCGAGCUACAUUCUGACUGAAAAAUUGAAGGCUUUAAAACCGAUUUUGAGAAGUUGGAAUAAAGACGUUUUUGGUCAGAUUGAGUCUAAGAAGCAGGAUGUAUGAAAUUUAAUGGAUUAUUGGGAUAAGGAAGAGGGGUUUCACUCUUUGUCGUUGGAAGAAGAGGAGGCUAGGAAGGAGGCAAGAGAGAUGUAUAAGAAAUGGGUUCUUUUAGAAGAAGUGUCAUGGAGGCAGAAGUCUAGGGAAAUUUGGUUGAAGGAGGGGGAUAGAAACACUAUUUUUUCAUCAGAUGACUAAUGCUCAUAGAAGAAAGAAUCAGCUGACCAGAGUAAAAGUGAAUGGGAGGUGGUUGAUUGAGGAAAGUGAAAUCAAAGAGGAGGUGAGCAGAGCUUUCCAAGGUAUGUUGGUUGAUCCUGGUGAUUGGAAGCCCGGUAUAGAUGGUUUAAAUUUUGAGAGGCUGGAAGAGGUUGAUGUGGAGGGGUUGGAGAAGCCUUUCUCGGAGGAGGAGGUUUUUGGAGCACUGUCAGGCUGUUGCGAAGAGAAAGCACCAGGCCCUAACAGUUUCUCAAUGGCAUUCUAGCAGUUUUCUUGGGAUUUUGUGAAGGAGGAGGUUAUGAAUUUUUUCAGACAGUUCCAUGAGGCUGGGAGAUUGUUAGAAGUCUGAAUGCAACCUUUUUAGUGUUGAUUCCUAAGAAAGGGGGGGCUGAGGACUUGAAGGAUUUUAGGCCAAUUAGCUUGGUGGGAGGGCUGUACAAGUGGUUAGCUAAGGUGUUGACUAACAAUAUGAAAGGAAUGUUAGCCAAGGUGAUCUCAACGUCUCAAAAUGCUUUUGUGGAGGGGUAGCAGAUUAUGGAUGCAGUGUUAAUCGCUAAUGAGGCAAUAGAUUCCAUUUUGAAAAGUAAUAGAGGGGCAAUUCUUUGCAAAUUAGACAUUGAGAAAGCCUAUGAUGAUGUGGACUGGUCAUUUCUUUUAGCGGUAUUGGAAAAGAUGGGGUUUGGGGAAGGGUGGUGUAGUUGGAUAAAGUAGUGUUUAUCCAUUGUUAGAUUUUCAGUCUUGGUGAAUGGAAGCCCUGCUAGUUUUUUCCAGAGCUCAAAGGGUUUAAGGCAAGGAGACCCUCUCUCGCCUUAUUUAUUCGUAGUAGUCAUGGAGGUUUUUAGUUGUUUGUUGAAAAGAGCAGUUGCUGGAGGUUAUUUGACACCGUGUUCGGUUCGGGGAAGAAGGGGUGAAGGGGUCCAGAUCUCCCAUUUAUUGUUUGCUGAUGACACACUGAUUUUCUGUGAGGCUAAAGAGGAGCAGUUGACAUAUUUGUACUGGCUAUUAAUGUGGUUUGAGGCAAUGUCAGGGUUAAGAGUGAAUUUGGAAAAAAGUGAAUUGAUUCCAAUUGGUAGAGUUGAGAAUGUGGAAGAGUUGGUUGAUGAGUUCAGUUAUAAAGUGGGAAAUUUGCCCUCCACCUACCUAGGAAUGCCUUUGGGUGCUCCUUUUAAAUCUGUUGGUGCAUGUGAUGGAAUAGAAGAAAGAAUCUGAAAGAGAUUGGCUAUGUGGAAACGGCAGUAUAUCUCAAAAGGGGGGAGGAUUACCUUAAUUCGAAGUACCUUAUCCAAUUUAUCGAUCUAUUUUAUGUCUCUUUUCCAGCUGCCAAGGGUGGUUAGGAUGAGACUAGAACAGAUUCAAAGGGACUUUCUAUGGGGUGGUGGGGCUCUUGAGCAAAAACCGCACUUAGUAAGGUGGCCGAUUGUGUGUGUAGACAAAAGUAAAGGAGGGUUGGGGGUUAAGAGUCUUGGUUCUUUCAAUAGGGCUCUCCUUGGCAAGUGGGUUCGGCGUUUUGCAAACGAAAAAAAGGUCCUUUGGAACCAAGUGAUUAGAAGGAAAUAUGGGGAGGAAAGAGGGGGUUGGAGAUCUUAUGAGGCUAGGGAGGCCUAUGGAGUUGGGUUAUGGAAAGCUAUAAGUAAGAUGGGACAGCUAGUAACCCCUCUUUUUGGUUUUGUGGUGGGGGAUGGGAAGAAUGUGAGUUUUUGGAAAGAUAAGUGGUGUGGAACCACCCCUUUUUGUUAGGCUUUCCCUUCAUUAUUUGCUCUAGCAACUUCAAAAGAGGCUUGGGUAAAUGAAGUUUGGACAGCCGAGAGGGAAAGGGGGGGAAAUUGGACUCCUCGUUUCAAUAGGCCUUUUAAUGAUUGGGAGAUGGAAGAAGUGGGAAGACUGCUUUGUUGCUUGGAUGGGAAGAUGGUUAGGGUGAGGUGGAUGGAUUCAAAGGGUGGGGCUUUUUGGGUAAAAUCGUUGUAUAGGGCUUUGCAGCCGGUGUCUAUUUCUUCCCUUCGAAGAUUAUUUGGAAUUCUUAUGUGCAGCCCAAGAUAAGCUUCUUCACGUGGGAGGCUUCUUGGGGAAGAGUUCUAACCUUGGACUGUUUACAAAAGACGGGUUGGGCUUUGGCAAAUAGGUGCUUUUUGUGCCAAACGUGUGGGGAGUCGAUUGACCACCUCCUCCUUCAUUGUGAAAGAACAAGGGAAGUGUGGACGUUGUUCCUCUCUUGUUUUGGAGUUUCUUGGGUCUUUCCUUAUUCGGUAAAGGAAACCCUUUUAGGAUGGAGGGGCUCUUUUGUGGGUAAGAAGAGGAAGGUGGCGUGGCAGUUGGGACCGUUAUGCUUGUUUUAGGUCAUUUGGAAGGCUAGGAAUACAAUUGCUUUUGAGGACGGUGUGUUGUCCAUUCAAAAGUUGAAAGUUUCUUUUGUGUAUUUACUUUGGUCGGAAACCAAAUUGUGGAUAAAAAAUGGUCCUUCGACCUUAAUAGAUUUUAUAAAUUGGGUGUGUUUGCGAUAAGGGAGAAGGUUUUUUUGUGUUUUCCUUGUUGUUUGGGUCCUUUUGUAUGGGGGUGAGUUUGUCUAUUCUGUAAUUCUGUGAGUCACUUCUUUAGCGCUUCUUUGCUAUACAAUUUUCUGCUUAUUGAUAAAAAAAAAUUAUUAUUAAUAUAACAUAUUUUUCGUUUCUGAUAAAAAAAGAAAUGUUCUCAUUGAAGUCUUUUUCUUCUCUCUUUUUUGAUAACUGGGGAGACCCUCAUCAAUCCUCACUUGGUGCAAGGACUUCAGAUAAGCCCCACAUACAUGCCAUUACCUGCAAACUACACCAGCUGAAAUAAAAGAGGAGAACUUUUAAGUCAAAUAUUCCACACCCAUCUGAUCAUGUUGACUCUUGUCUCACUAAAUCUCUUCCUGGUUAACAUUUAGUUCUGUUGGCCUUGAAAUAUUGCUUUUUCCAUUACCAGUGUAAACAUGUCAGAUAUGAAAUAGAGUGCUUGUGGAUCUAUAUGGAUUCUUUCUAUGGAAGUAAAUGAAAGUACAUCUCUUUUGUGGCCUA